This 301-nucleotide ribosomal RNA is filed under the name uncultured bacterium. RNAcentral describes it as "partial 16S ribosomal RNA". It matches the Rfam family "Bacterial small subunit ribosomal RNA", at positions 509 to 809 of the family's 1533-position model. The record is from RNAcentral.
CAGUAGCCGCGGUAAUACGAAGGGUGCAAGCGUUAAUCGGAAUUACUGGGCGUAAAGCGUGCGUAGGCGGUGAGUUAAGUCUGCUGUGAAAUCCCCGGGCUCAACCUGGGAAUGGCAGUGGAUACUGGCUCGCUAGAGUGUGUCAGAGGAUGGUGGAAUUCCCGGUGUAGCGGUGAAAUGCGUAGAGAUCGGGAGGAACAUCAGUGGCGAAGGCGACUAUCUGGGCCAACACUGACACUGAGGCACGAAAGCGUGGGGAGCAAACAGGAUUAGAUACCCCCGUAGUCCCUGUCUCUUAUAA